RNAcentral lists this ribosomal RNA (271 nucleotides) under Morganella morganii. RNAcentral describes it as "partial 23S ribosomal RNA". It matches the Rfam family "Bacterial large subunit ribosomal RNA", at positions 1 to 272 of the family's 2925-position model. Lineage: Bacteria; Pseudomonadati; Pseudomonadota; Gammaproteobacteria; Enterobacterales; Morganellaceae. The record is from RNAcentral. RNAcentral also lists the same sequence under 1 other name.
GGUUAAGCGAAUAAGCGUACACGGUGGAUGCCUAGGCAGUCAGAGGCGAUGAAGGACGUGCUAAUCUGCGAUAAGCGCCGGUAAGGUGAUAUGAACCGUUAUAACCGGCGAUUUCCGAAUGGGGAAACCCAGUGCAAUUCGUUGCACUAUCAUUACCUGAAUACAUAGGGUAAUGAAGCGAACCGGGAGAACUGAAACAUCUAAGUACCCCGAGGAAAAGAAAUCAAACGAGAUUCCCCCAGUAGCGGCGAGCGAACGGGGAGCAGCCCAG